AACGAACGCUGGCGGCGUGCUUAACACAUGCAAGUCGAACGGAAUUAGGGGCUUGCUCCUAAUUUAGUGGCGCACGGGUGAGUAACGCGUGGAUAACCUACCCUGGUAUCUGGGAUAACAUCUCGAAAGGGGUGCUAAUACCGGAUAAGCCCACGGUCUCUUCGGGGAUUGCGGGAAAAGAUGGCCUCUAUUUAUAAGCUAUCGUAUCAGGAUGGGCCCGCGUACCAUUAGCUAGUUGGUGGUGUAAUGGACCACCAAGGCGACGAUGGUUAGCUGGUCUGAGAGGAUGAUCAGCCACACUGGAACUGAGACACGGUCCAGACUCCUACGGGAGGCAGCAGUGGGGAAUUUUGCGCAAUGGGGGAAACCCUGACGCAGCAACGCCGCGUGAGUGAUGAAGGCCUUCGGGUCGUAAAGCUCUGUCAGAGGGGAAGAAGUGAUAGUGUGCUAAUACCACAUUAUCUUGACGGUACCCUCAAAGGAAGCACCGGCUAACUCCGUGCCAGCAGCCGCGGUAAUACGGAGGGUGCAAGCGUUGUUCGGAUUUAUUGGGCGUAAAGCGCGUGUAGGCGGUCUUUUAAGUCUGAUGUGAAAGCCCCGGGCUCAACCCGGGAAGUGCAUUGGAAACUGGGAGACUUGAAUACGGGAGAGGGUAGUGGAAUUCCUAGUGUAGGAGUGAAAUCCGUAGAUAUUAGGAGGAACACCGGUGGCGAAGGCGGCUACCUGGACCGAUAUUGACGCUGAGACGCGAAAGCGUGGGGAGCAAACAGGAUUAGAUACCCUGGUAGUCCACGCCGUAAACGAUGAGUACUAGGUGUUGCGGGUAUUGACCCCUGCAGUGCCGCAGCUAACGCAUUAAGUACUCCGCCUGGGAAGUACGGUCGCAAGACUA
Molecule: ribosomal RNA, 892 nt
Filed under: uncultured bacterium
Lineage: Bacteria
Description: bacterial SSU rRNA
Rfam family: Bacterial small subunit ribosomal RNA
Source: RNAcentral